UUUCAUUUCAAGUUAGAAUCACUUGCUGAUGCCCUGAAUGUCAAGAAUGAUGGUGUGCCAGGCACCAUGCAAAAUGUUCUGCAAGUAGGGUCCAUUAGAGUCCAUAUGACAGGUGCCAUGAUGGGUCUCAUUUGGCAGAAGGGAGCACAGGUUCAGGUGAUGACUGAGAGCACUGCAGCCAUCUCGGAACCUUGUUGCAUGAAGACGGAGGCCUGGAAUGCAAGGCUUGUGAUGCCAAAAGAAGUGCUGGACCCCGGAGCUGUUCCCGGAUUGCUGACCCAGUCUUUGAACUCAUUUCUGGAUUAUAACCCUGGGUCCACCGAAGCGGCUACUGACACUCUCCCACCACCUGCUUGGUUUCCUCGUGACUGCGUGUGACCAGGAUGGGGUCUCAUGCUUCACCUGGGCAUCUGGACUGGGGCUGCCUCGUCUUUGCGGGCCUCCCUCCUACAGUGCUGAGCUGACUGAAAACACUCAAAAAUCCCAGGCUGUCGGGGCUGGCUCAGCCGUUUAAAAUGCUUACCGGUUGUUCAGAGGACCUGGGUUCGGUUCCCAGCACCCUCAGAUCUGCUCUCCAUCUCUGGUGGCUGGUUCGAGAUGAUCCAAACCCCUCUUCUGACCUCUGUGGGCUCCUGCAUGCAUGUGGUGCUCAUGAAUGCGUUCAGACACACUCACAUGCAGGGUUUGGAAUUACCAGGGAGCACAGAGUCCAUUGGAGAUGUACUAUGGUGGAUAGAGCUGGUUGACACUGGUUCUGCUGGAAAUGACCAGAGAAUGUCUUGCCUGACACAGCCCCAGCUCAUUUCAAGUGUUGAUGGGAU
Molecule: long non-coding RNA, 821 nt
Filed under: Cricetulus griseus (Chinese hamster)
Lineage: Eukaryota; Metazoa; Chordata; Mammalia; Rodentia; Cricetidae
Description: lncRNA (ENSCGRG00015036979.1)
Source: RNAcentral